GCCUUCCUUCUGUUUCAGGCUUCCCCUCUUGCCGUCCCAGGCUCCUGGCUGGGACCCCUAACUCUGACCCCACAGUGAGAUGGAAAAGAACAGCCUGAGUGGACAGUAAGGCCCCGACAAGAUGCGGAGAUGGAAGUGCUAACUCAGCAUGUGUUCUGGGACCAGUGAGCAGAAUGCCCUGCCUCCUUGUUACAGGACUGAGCCACAGGAGGCCUUGGUGGCCUUGGUGACGCAGGGGUGCCCAGGACAGCAUUCUGGGCUUGGCGUCUCAGACGGGAGCCCAAAGGCAGAUUUCAGCUGGAAGAAGAUGUUUCCAAAAGGGAUGCCCUUGACUUUCUUGGCUCCUUGGGGCUCCAUCUUUAGACCACGAAGUGGCACAGAGGACACAGCAUCACCAAGGAGCCUGGCGGCCGUGAUGUAACUAGAUUCACAGAUGGGGAGGCUGAUUCUCGGAAAGUGAGGACAGGUGGUUGAGAUGCUGGGGGCGGUGAGCUGGGGAGACAAAAUUACAGCCCUCCGCUUCUGCAAACAGGCAACACAGAGGGGGAAAACCUAUAAUCACACCAUUAAAG
Bos taurus (domestic cattle) is the source of this 572-nucleotide long non-coding RNA. NCBI's taxonomy places the organism in Eukaryota, Metazoa, Chordata, Mammalia, Artiodactyla, Bovidae. The record is from Ensembl.